CGCUGGCGGUAUGCUUUACACAUGCAAGUCGAACGGGCUAUGGGGCUUGCUCCAUAGUUAGUGGCGAACGGGUGAGUAAUAUAUCGGAACAUAUCCGGAAGUGGGGGAUAACGUAGCGAAAGUUACGCUAAUACCGCAUAUGCCCUGAGGGGGAAAGGGGGGGAUCGCAAGACCUCUCGCUUUCGGAGUGGCCGAUAUCGGAUUAGCUAGUAGGUGAGGUAAAGGCUCACCUAGGCGACGAUCCGUAGCUGGUCUGAGAGGACGACCAGCCACACUGGAACUGAGACACGGUCCAGACUCCUACGGGAGGCAGCAGUGGGGAAUUUUGGACAAUGGGCGCAAGCCUGAUCCAGCAAUGCCGCGUGCAGGAUGAAGGCCUUCGGGUUGUAAACUGCUUUUGUACGGAACGAAAAGACUCCUUCUAAUAAAGGGGGUUCAUGACGGUACCGUAAGAAUAAGCACCGGCUAACUACGUGCCAGCAGCCGCGGUAAUA
RNAcentral lists this ribosomal RNA (494 nucleotides) under uncultured bacterium. Its description in RNAcentral is "bacterial SSU rRNA". It matches the Rfam family "Bacterial small subunit ribosomal RNA", at positions 34 to 525 of the family's 1533-position model. The record is from RNAcentral.